UGAUGCCUCAAGCGUCUUCCACCGCGGCUACAACUGUACCCAGCCAGAUAUGGCCAGUACCAUCACGCCGGGACUACUACAAAGCCAUAUGGGCCGACCAUUUUUUGGAACAAUUUUUUAACUCGUGCAUAGACUGCUUAUGCGGCCGUAUGGGCCGGCAGUUUUUUCGGACCUCGUGCAUAGGCUGCUUAUGCGGCCUUAUGGGCCGGCAGUUUUGGACCUCAUGCAUCAACUGCUUAUGAGGCUGGAUGUGGCCAACAGGCUUUGUGUAAAAAAAAAUGUGGUCUGGUGGCGCCUUCGUGUAUAUGAAGGUUCCGGGUUCGAUUCCUGGUCAGACCCCCGACAUUGUUCGGGAGGUCUAGGUUUACUAACGCUGCUGAGGUGUGGAGAUGAGGUCUAGUUGAUGGACUAAGUUUCGCAUGCUGAGAUGGUGGUGGUGGCUGAUCUGUCUCUACGGAUGUUGGGUGACUGGAUGAGGAGGGGUCUAGUUGGCAGGACCCAAACCGCCGUCGGUCGUACGGUGUAAUCAACUUUCAAUACAUAUAGUCCAUGGCCUCCCGGCUUUGACGGACCCCCCCGCACUCGUGCGGCACUUGUAACUUGUAACUUGUAAUCCCAGUUCCAAUUUAUCCUUCCCUGCGACAAUGGCUGGAUUGACUGCUUAGGCCGGGCCACAGACAGCCACACCCCAACAAGUUCCAAGUGCAGGAGACUACAGGGACUGAUCGAGAAGCUUUCGCAGAAGUUCUCGCAGAC
Molecule: long non-coding RNA, 756 nt
Filed under: Volvox carteri
Lineage: Eukaryota; Viridiplantae; Chlorophyta; Chlorophyceae; Chlamydomonadales; Volvocaceae
Description: long non-coding RNA (VCAR_LNC004040)
Source: RNAcentral